RNAcentral lists this ribosomal RNA (484 nucleotides) under uncultured bacterium. RNAcentral's name for it is "partial 16S ribosomal RNA". It matches the Rfam family "Bacterial small subunit ribosomal RNA", at positions 30 to 507 of the family's 1533-position model. The record is from RNAcentral.
AUUGAACGCUGGCGGCAUGCUUUACACAUGCAAGUCGAACGGCAGCACGGGCUUCGGCCUGGUGGCGAGUGGCGAACGGGUGAGUAAUAUAUCGGAACGUACCCAGAAGUGGGGGAUAACGUAGCGAAAGUUACGCUAAUACCGCAUACGAUCUAUGGAUGAAAGCAGGGGACCGCAAGGCCUUGUGCUCCUGGAGCGGCCGAUAUCUGAUUAGCUAGUUGGUGAGGUAAAGGCUCACCAAGGCGACGAUCAGUAGCUGGUCUGAGAGGACGACCAGCCACACUGGAACUGAGACACGGUCCAGACUCCUACGGGAGGCAGCAGUGGGGAAUUUUGGACGAUGGGCGCAAGCCUGAUCCAGCAAUGCCGCGUGAGUGAAGAAGGCCUUCGGGUUGUAAAGCUCUUUUGUCAGGGAAGAAACGGUAGAGGCUAAUAUCCUUUGCUAAUGACGGUACCUGAAGAAUAAGCACCGGCUAACUACGUG